Molecule: transfer RNA, 73 nt
Filed under: Marmota monax (woodchuck)
Lineage: Eukaryota; Metazoa; Chordata; Mammalia; Rodentia; Sciuridae
Description: tRNA.Ala
Source: RNAcentral
GUGGGGCUGUGGCUCAGUGGUAGAGUGUCAGCCUAGCAUGUGUGAGGCACUGGGUUCGAUCCUCAGCAUCACA